This 497-nucleotide ribosomal RNA is filed under the name uncultured bacterium. RNAcentral describes it as "partial 16S ribosomal RNA". It matches the Rfam family "Bacterial small subunit ribosomal RNA", at positions 28 to 507 of the family's 1533-position model. The record is from RNAcentral.
GAUGAACGCUGGCGGCGUGCCUAAUACAUGCAAGUCGAGCGAACAGACGAGGAGCUUGCUCCUCUGACGUUAGCGGCGGACGGGUGAGUAACACGUGGAUAACCUACCUAUAAGACUGGGAUAACUUCGGGAAACCGGAGCUAAUACCGGAUAAUAUAUUGAACCUCAUUGUUCAAUAGUGAAAUACGGUUUUGCUGUCACUUAUAGAUUGAUCCGGGCCGCAUUAGCUAGUUGGUAAGGUAACGGCUUACCAAGGCAACGAUGCGUAGCCGACCCGAGAGGGUGAUCGGCCACACUGGAACUGAGACACGGUCAAGACUCCUACGGGAGGCAGCAGUAGGGAAUCUUCCGCAAUGGGCGAAAGCCUGACGGAGCAACGCCGCGUGAGUGAUGAAGGUCUUCGGAUCGUAAAACUCUGUUAUUAGGGAAGAACAAAUGUGUAAGUAACUAUGCACGUCUUGACGGUACCUAAUCAGAAAGCCACGGCUAACUACGUG